UCCUACGGGAGGCAGCAGUGGGGAAUAUUGCACAAUGGGCGCAAGCCUGAUGCAGCCAUGCCGCGUGUGUGAAGAAGGCCUUCGGGUUGUAAAGCACUUUCAGCGAGGAGGAAGGUGGUGAGCUUAAUACGCUCAUCAAUUGACGUUACUCGCAGAAGAAGCACCGGCUAACUCCGUGCCAGCAGCCGCGGUAAUACGGAGGGUGCAAGCGUUAAUCGGAAUUACUGGGCGUAAAGCGCACGCAGGCGGUUUGUUAAGUCAGAUGUGAAAUCCCCGGGCUCAACCUGGGAACUGCAUUUGAAACUGGCAAGCUAGAGUCUCGUAGAGGGGGGUAGAAUUCCAGGUGUAGCGGUGAAAUGCGUAGAGAUCUGGAGGAAUACCGGUGGCGAAGGCGGCCCCCUGGACGAAGACUGACGCUCAGGUGCGAAAGCGUGGGGAGCAAACAGGAUUAGAUACCCGGGUAGUCCACGCAGUAAGCGA
RNAcentral lists this ribosomal RNA (480 nucleotides) under uncultured Serratia sp. RNAcentral's name for it is "bacterial SSU rRNA". It matches the Rfam family "Bacterial small subunit ribosomal RNA", at positions 337 to 809 of the family's 1533-position model. The record is from RNAcentral. Lineage: Bacteria; Pseudomonadati; Pseudomonadota; Gammaproteobacteria; Enterobacterales; Yersiniaceae.